Molecule: long non-coding RNA, 231 nt
Filed under: Ananas comosus (pineapple)
Lineage: Eukaryota; Viridiplantae; Streptophyta; Magnoliopsida; Poales; Bromeliaceae
Description: long non-coding RNA (ACOM_LNC037458)
Source: RNAcentral
UAGGCUACUAUACUAUCUAUAGUACCGAGCUCCGAUACUAUAGUGUUGGUUUUCGAUCUUAGGGCGUUCAAAUCAACGAUCCACACCAUUAAAACUGAUCUAGGGUAUUUAAAGUUUCUAGAAAUAAAAUUUUAUAUUUUUUCGACAUAGUUUACUUCAUGAUCAAACUAUUUCAAAAUUGUCAAUUUUCAAUGGCUAUUAUGACGAGUUUGGAGUUUAACGGUGUAGAAA